Molecule: small nucleolar RNA, 152 nt
Filed under: Oryza sativa (Asian cultivated rice)
Lineage: Eukaryota; Viridiplantae; Streptophyta; Magnoliopsida; Poales; Poaceae
Description: Z224 small nucleolar RNA
Source: RNAcentral
UCAUGCGUGAUGACUGAGAUCGAGGGGCCGGGCUGACUGCUUGCCUGGCUAACGGUGGUAUCUCAUUGAUUCCGGCGUGUAAUUAAUUUAUGACGUGGAUCGACAUGACUUGACCCGAUAGGGUUGGAUAGGAAGCGGUUCCUCUGACGUGG